Molecule: non-coding RNA, 108 nt
Organism: Citrus sinensis (sweet orange)
Lineage: Eukaryota; Viridiplantae; Streptophyta; Magnoliopsida; Sapindales; Rutaceae
Source: Rfam
AAACCGUGAUGUGGACAAAUGUUAAGCAGUUCUUUAAACCUAUCCCAACAUUGGUAGAGAGUUUCUCCUGGUUUUUGAGUGAAAAUGGUAAUUUUAAAAUAUAAGUGU